RNAcentral lists this unclassified non-coding RNA (1605 nucleotides) under Hevea brasiliensis (rubber tree). Lineage: Eukaryota; Viridiplantae; Streptophyta; Magnoliopsida; Malpighiales; Euphorbiaceae. The record is from RNAcentral.
UGAAUUAUCUCAAUCAAACAAGUUCAUAAAUCUAGAGAGGCCACAAGAAAAUCCUGUUGACACAAGUAUUAAGCUACGUUCAAUAGGAUGCAUGUAUAGCAAGAUCAUGUUUUGUGGUCACCCAAAUUAAUUUCAGCAAUACAAUUACAAAGCAAUCCUCCAUGCGUAGCUCAUAUGUAUGCAAAAUGGGUGGAUAUUGAUUCUACAGAUGCACAAUCUACAAGUAGCUCAUUUGCAAUUGAUUUUCACAAUUCAUCAUUAGAAUUCAGAUUUCAAUCUAAAGACUAUCCUAUAAAGGAAAUUACAUACAUGAUGCAACAUUGAAUGAGAAGAAAUCUCAAAAAUAUUGAAUGUUAUCAUUGAGUACACUCCAAAAUCUUUGAAGAAUCCUACGAGUCCAGCGUAACUGCUGGAUAUUCUUGAUAGCCCGUGAUGCCUGUUAUCCUUAUUCUUGUAUUUGGCUGCAUAAUCAAGUCAACCAUAUCAAAACAUCACAGAAAGAAUGAGUCAACAGAAGGUUGCAUUCAUCAAUCGAACUAGACAAAAGAAAUAACGACAGAUCUUUCAUUUUAUUUCACUUUCAUUCUUCUUGAAAUGAUAGGGCCAUUAUCAGAUAUAAAAGUUCAUUCCCACUGUGUGUGUGUGGUGGGGGAAGGGAAUCAUACUCUAUUGUAUGCAGCCUCUCCCUUUCUGGCUGUUUCCACGACUUGAACCCAUGAGAUUCUAGACACGAUAGAGCACCAUGGUUUGCUCUCGCCAAGUUAAAAUUUUAUUAUGCAAGGGCUAUUAUCUUAUACAACAUCAACAACUAAACUUUAAUCCCAAACUAGUAGUGGUCAAUUAUAUUGAUCCUUUUUCACCAAUUAAUUUAGCUCUAUUUGAAAUCAAUUCUGAAUUAAUAUUUAAAAAUUGUAAAUCCCUUUAUAUUGCUUCCUUUCAUAUCAUUUUAGGUCUCUCUCUUUCUCUUCUCACUCCUUCCACAUACUUUCCUACUGGGACACCUGAUACUCUAUAUUGGACAUGAACAAACCAUCUUAAUCGGCCAUCUCUUAUUUUAUUCUCAAUGUGUGCUACACACACUCUUUAACGAAUGAAGUUAUUCGUAAUUUUAUCUAUUAUCAUAAAACUAGACAUUUCUUUACAUUUGCAUUUCCAUCAUAUUCAUCUUGUUGGUAUGUUGUACCUUAAAUAUCCAACAUUCACUCUCCUAUAACAUAGCUGACCUGACCACAGUUAUAUAGAACGUGCAUUUUACUUUUUCAGGAUUCCCACAAUCGCAUAGCACCUCCAUUCCUUCUACUAGAAUUAAAUUCGCAAUAAAUAUAUUCAGUCUUAUUUCUACUUAGCCUAAGACCCUUACUCUCAAGAGUCAUUCUCCUUAAUUCCAACUUUUAGUUAACUCCAUUAGUUUUAUGAUUAAGACAACAUUAUCUGCAAAUAACAUGCACCAUGUACAUCAUCCUAAAUAUGAUUGGGCUAUCAUCUUAUAUAGUAGUUAAAUUUUACAUCAUCCUAAAUAUGAUUGGGCUAUCAUCUUAUAUAGUAGUUAAAUUUUACAUCAUCCUAAAUAUGAUUGGGCUAUCAUCUUAUAUAGUAGUUAAAUUU